AAGUCGUAACAAGGUUUCCGUAGGUGAACCUGCGGAAGGAUCAUUAAUGAGUUUUGAUGUGGGCCUCUCGAGCUGGCUUUGCAGGUGCUCAGAGGCUCCCACUCUCAUCCACUCAACCCCUGUGCACUUUUGAACGCAAGUGAGUCGUCAGUUCCCCCUAAGCUGGGAGUGACUUGAUUUGCUUCGUUUAUUACAAACUCUUUAUUAUGUCUUGUAGAAUGCUUUGCCUCUCUGUAGGCGAAAUAUAAUACAACUUUCAACAACGGAUCUCUUGGCUCUC
Molecule: unclassified non-coding RNA, 280 nt
Filed under: Fuscoporia senex
Lineage: Eukaryota; Fungi; Basidiomycota; Agaricomycetes; Hymenochaetales; Hymenochaetaceae
Description: partial internal transcribed spacer region
Rfam family: Eukaryotic small subunit ribosomal RNA (bases 1-46)
Source: RNAcentral